Molecule: ribosomal RNA, 1048 nt
Filed under: Leptobrachium leucops (yin-yang frog)
Lineage: Eukaryota; Metazoa; Chordata; Amphibia; Anura; Megophryidae
Description: partial large subunit ribosomal RNA
Rfam family: Bacterial large subunit ribosomal RNA
Source: RNAcentral
UGGUUGCUCAGGAAAAGAAUUUUAGUUCUUUCUUAAAAAAUUAAUGCACUUAAAGCAUUUUAAGAAUUAUUCAAUUAGGGUACAGCCUAAUUGAUAUAGGAUACAACCUAAAUUUUAGGAUAAUGAUUAUACCUAAAAAAAGUUAAAGGCUAAGUUGGCUUAAAAGCAGCCAUCUUUUAAAAAGCGUCUAAGCUUGACCUUAAACAUACUUUUAUUUUAUUAAUUCUUCAAAAUCCAAUACUACUACUGAGCUAUUCUAUAUUUUUAUAGAAGUAUUUAUGUUAGGACUAGUAACACAGAAUAAUUUCUCUUCUAUGUAAGUAAAAAUCAGUCUGAAUACCUCACUGAUAACUACCCAGUUUUGAAUAUAUAGUAAUUUUGGAGCUUCCCCAUGAAAAUACUACUUUAAUUUCUGUUAAUCUUACACAAGAACAUAUAAGAAAGAUAUAAAGACUAAGAAGGAACUCGGCAACCCACAGUCCCGCCUGUUUACCAAAAACAUCGCCUUUUGAAAAUUAUAAAAGGUAACGCCUGCCCAGUGACCCUGUUUAACGGCCGCGGUAUUCUGACCGUGCGAAGGUAGCGUAAUCACUUGUCUUUUAAAUAAAGACUUGUAUGAAUGGCAUCACGAGGACUUAACUGUCUCCUUAGUCCUAUCAGUGAAACUGAUCUUCCCGUGCAAAAGCGGGAAUAAAAACAUAAGACGAGAAGACCCUGUGGAGCUUAAAACAUAAACUAACUAUAUUAACUAUUAUAAAUAAAUACUAUAUUUCUAUAGACUAGUCAAAGUUUUCAGUUGGGGUGACUGUGGAGAAAAACUAAUCCUCCAUGUAGAAAUAAGCUUUGAGUUACCUCUCUUAGCAUUAGCAAGCCUAACUUUACUUGAUCCAAUAAUUUUGAUCAACGGACCAAGUUACCCCAGGGAUAACAGCGCAAUCCAUUUCAAGAGUUCAUAUCGACAAAUGGGUUUACGACCUCGAUGUUGGAUUAGGACCCCCUAGUGGUGCAGCCGCUACUAACGGUUCGUUUGUUCAACGAUUAAAGUCCU